GAUGAACGCUGGCGGCGUGCCUAAUACAUGCAAGUCGAGCGAACGGACGAGAAGCUUGCUUCUCUGAUGUUAGCGGCGGACGGGUGAGUAACACGUGGAUAACCUACCUAUAAGACUGGGAUAACUUCGGGAAACCGGAGCUAAUACCGGAUGAUAUUUUGAACCGCAUGGUUCAAAAGUGAAAGACGGUCUUGCUGUCACUUAUAGAUGGAUCCGCGCUGCAUUAGCUAGUUGGUAAGGUAACGGCUUAACAAGGCAACGAUGCAUAGCCGACCUGAGAGGGUGAUCGGCCACACUGGAACUGAGACACGGUCCAGACUCCUACGGGAGGCAGCAGUAGGGAAUCUUCCGCAAUGGGCGAAAGCCUGACGGGGCAACGCCGCGUGAGUGAUGAAGGUCUUCGGAUCGUAAAACUCUGUUAUUAGGGAAGAACAUAUGUGUAAGUAACUGUGCACAUCUUGACGGUACCUAAUCAGAAAGCCACGGCUAACUACGUG
RNAcentral lists this ribosomal RNA (497 nucleotides) under uncultured bacterium. Its description in RNAcentral is "partial 16S ribosomal RNA". It matches the Rfam family "Bacterial small subunit ribosomal RNA", at positions 28 to 507 of the family's 1533-position model. The record is from RNAcentral.